GAUUAACGCUGGCGGCGUGCCUAACACAUGCAAGUCGAGCGGCAGCGAGUUUUACACUGAAUUCUGGAAGCUUCUAGUUGAAAGAGAAGAUUUAUUCAAGAAUUUUGUGUAAAAUGUCGGCGAGCGGCGGACGGCUGAGUAACGCGUGGGAACGUACCCCAAAGUGAGGGAUAACGCAUCGAAAGGUGUGCUAAUACCGCAUAUGGUCUUCGGAUUAAAGCCUUCGGGCGCUUUGGGAACGGCCUGCGUAAGAUUAGAUAGUUGGUGGGGUAAUGGCCUACCAAGUCGACGAUCUUUAACUGGUUUUAGAGGAUGAUCAGUCAGACUGGAACUGAGACACGGUCCAGACUCCUACGGGAGGCAGCAGUGAGGAAUCUUCCACAAUGGGCGAAAGCCUGAUGGAGCAACGCCGCGUGCAGGAUGAAGGCCUUCGGGUUGUAAACUGCUUUUAUAAGUGAGGAUUAUGACAGUAACUUAUGAAUAAGGAUCGGCUAACUACGUG
This 502-nucleotide ribosomal RNA is filed under the name uncultured bacterium. Its description in RNAcentral is "partial 16S ribosomal RNA". It matches the Rfam family "Bacterial small subunit ribosomal RNA", at positions 28 to 507 of the family's 1533-position model. The record is from RNAcentral.